AGGACGAACGCUGGCGGCGUGCUUAACACAUGCAAGUCGAACGGAAAGGCCUGCAGCUUGCUGCGGGUACUCGAGUGGCGAACGGGUGAGUAACACGUGGGUGAUCUGCCUUGCACUUCAGGAUAAGCUUGGGAAACUGGGUCUAAUACCGGAUAGGACAGCUGUUUAGUGUCAGUUGUGGAAAGUUUUUUCGGUGCAAGAUGAGCUCGCGGCCUAUCAGCUUGUUGGUGGGGUAAUGGCCUACCAAGGCGUCGACGGGUAGCCGGCCUGAGAGGGUGUACGGCCACAUUGGGACUGAGAUACGGCCCAGACUCCUACGGGAGGCAGCAGUGGGGAAUAUUGCACAAUGGGCGGAAGCCUGAUGCAGCGACGCCGCGUGGGGGAUGAAGGCCUUCGGGUUGUAAACUCCUUUCGACAGGGACGAAGCGUAAGUGACGGUACCUGUAUAAGAAGCACCGGCUAACUACGUGCCAGCAGCCGCGGUAAUACGUAGGGUGCGAGCGUUGUCCGGAAUUACUGGGCGUAAAGAGCUCGUAGGUGGUUUGUCGCGUCGUCUGUGAAAUUCCGGGGCUUAACUCCGGGCGUGCAGGCGAUACGGGCUGACUUGAGUGCUGUAGGGGAGACUGGAAUUCCUGGUGUAGCGGUGAAAUGCGCAGAUAUCAGGAGGAACACCGAUGGCGAAGGCAGGUCUCUGGGCAGUAACUGACGCUGAGGAGCGAAAGCAUGGGUAGCGAACAGGAUUAGAUACCCUGGUAGUCCAUGCCGUAAACGGUGGGCGCUAGGUGUAGGGGGCUUCCACGUCUUCUGUGCCGUAGCUAACGCAUUAAGCGCCCCGCCUGGGGAGUGCGGC
This 850-nucleotide ribosomal RNA is filed under the name uncultured Actinomycetes bacterium. RNAcentral describes it as "bacterial SSU rRNA". It matches the Rfam family "Bacterial small subunit ribosomal RNA", at positions 26 to 886 of the family's 1533-position model. Lineage: Bacteria; Bacillati; Actinomycetota; Actinomycetes. The record is from RNAcentral.